Molecule: unclassified non-coding RNA, 748 nt
Filed under: Hevea brasiliensis (rubber tree)
Lineage: Eukaryota; Viridiplantae; Streptophyta; Magnoliopsida; Malpighiales; Euphorbiaceae
Source: RNAcentral
AGACGACAAAGAACAUUUAUUGGAUAUUAAAAAACAACUUUCUGAAGAUCUGUUCUUUUUCAGGAUUGAAUGUUAAUUGACUUUUAGGUGAACAACUUGGUAUAGAGUAGAUUAAGAAGAUGUCCCCUACACUUCCCCCGAAAAAGGAGGAAGAGAGCGAGAUAUGUAUGAAAAGUCUACUUUCAUGGAUGUAGCCUAAUUUGGCAUCCUCUUGUUUGUCUUGCUCCCAUGCAUGAUCUGAUACUUGAGUGGGAACAUAAUAAACUGUUUUCAAGUAUUUAGGUUAUAUAACCUCAAGACGAUAAACUAUUAGUUUUUUCUUUAUGAUUUUUAUACUGAUUGCAGGUCCAGACAUAUGCACUAGAAGGUUAGAAACCCACUGUUAUGCUUCCAAUGUGUGAACCGUGAACCAUGAAAAUCUACUUGGAUGGUACACAUUUAUAACCUUAUUUCAUACCAAAUCCAAGCUUGAAAUGUUGAUGGAUUAAAAUAUUCACCGUUUUUCAUAUUUUCUACACUGUUUGCUUCAUAUGACAGAAGAAGAGUCUUGGUUAUGGAUGAGGCUCAAAUUAAACAUAUGGGUGAGUUUGAAUACGCUUAAACUUGGCAGCAUUCCCUACUGAUAGGAAUCUUGAUACCUGGUUUGAAUCAGAUGUGACCAACUGUUGGGUUCUUCACUUGCCCAUUUUCCCCCUCCAGCAUCCAGCAGCAAACUCUAGAAAUGUAUUCUAAUUUUUAUGUUAGGAAA